Molecule: ribosomal RNA, 323 nt
Filed under: Minchinia chitonis
Lineage: Eukaryota; Endomyxa; Ascetosporea; Haplosporida; Haplosporidiidae
Description: partial Eukaryotic large subunit ribosomal RNA
Rfam family: Eukaryotic large subunit ribosomal RNA
Source: RNAcentral
UUUGGUCAGCGGGGCAAGAAGACCCUGUUGAGCUUGACUCUAGUCUGGCAACGUGCGACAGCUCGGAGGGUGUAGAAUAAGUGGGAGUCUUUGACGCCCGUGAAAUACCACUACCUCUGACGCUGUUUCACUUACUCGGUGGAAAACAAUCCCUCUGGCAGUUUCAGACUGCCGGAGUUUGCCUGACGUUAGCCGGAGACUUUGUCAGGUUGGGAGUUUGGCUGGGGCGGCACAUCUGUUAAACGAUAACACAGGUGUCCUAAGAUUAGCUCAGCGAGAACAGAAAUCUCGUGUAGAGCAGAAGGGUAAAUGCUAAUUUUAUG